GAAAACCGAGUGUCUUUUAUCAGACAAUUAAAACCAUGUAAAGAUACAUGACGUAUUGAGAUUAGGAUUCUUCACUUGUGGAGAAACUACAACAAAGAUUCCGGAAACACCAUCAAAAUGGUUUUCGUUGAUAAAGAAGUAAGUAGAUUACUACAUUUCUUACAACUCAUAAUCGUCUUUAGUCUUUUGUUCUCAAUCCAACUCAUAUAAUUUUAUCUCAUCUUCGUGUAGGGGACAAGAAUUCAUGCUUCA
RNAcentral lists this long non-coding RNA (252 nucleotides) under Brassica rapa (field mustard). RNAcentral's name for it is "long non-coding RNA (BRAP_LNC006964)". The record is from RNAcentral. Lineage: Eukaryota; Viridiplantae; Streptophyta; Magnoliopsida; Brassicales; Brassicaceae.